Molecule: ribosomal RNA, 253 nt
Filed under: uncultured bacterium
Lineage: Bacteria
Description: partial 16S ribosomal RNA
Rfam family: Bacterial small subunit ribosomal RNA
Source: RNAcentral
UACAGAGGGUGCGAGCGUUGUCCGGAAUCACUGGGCGUAAAGGGCGCGUAGGUGGCUGUGUAAGUCGGGGGUGAAAUGCUGCGGCUCAACCGCAGGGCUGCCUCCGAGACUGCACGGCUUGAGCACGGUAGAGGCAGGUGGAAUUCCCGGUGUAGCGGUGGAAUGCGUAGAGAUCGGGAAGAACAUCAGUGGCGAAGGCGGCCUGCUGGGCUGUUGCUGACGCUGAGGCGCGACAGCGUGGGGAGCAAACAGG